RNAcentral lists this long non-coding RNA (562 nucleotides) under Phoenix dactylifera (date palm). RNAcentral's name for it is "long non-coding RNA (PDAC_LNC021677)". The record is from RNAcentral. Lineage: Eukaryota; Viridiplantae; Streptophyta; Magnoliopsida; Arecales; Arecaceae.
GUUAUUAGAUUUUUGUUCAUCAUAGGUCAUGCAUGAACUUUAGGGCAUUGCUCUAGGGCUCAUGCAACCGUGUCACGUGGUCGACCCGGAUGAUGAGUUCGGGGCGUGACAUAUGUUGAAGUGAAAUACAAACAAACAAAAUAUGUAAAAUUUCUUGAGCUUAUGAAAAGUGACAUAGAAGAAGAUUUGAUCAGGAAAACCAUGCAUUCAGUUGGAAAAAACGAAGGGACAACAACUUGUGGAAACUUUGUGAGAGGUAAAAGAACUCAUGAGGUUGAUAUUUAGUCAAAGGAACGUGGGGUUGCAAUCAAUUUGUCUUUGUAAGUUUUACUAAGGGGCAUUUGGUAACCCCAACAAGAUCACCACGGUGAUCUAUGAUCCCGGUGAUCCGAAUGCUGGGGUGAUUUGAUCCCCAGUGAUCUAAGAUUAAUGUAUUUGGUAGGCCAUGGUCCAGUGAUUAAAAAAUCUCCGAGUAUCCAUGAGUAACUUGUUUGGUAUGGUAUGGAGAUCCAAGAUCACCAACCACAUAAUACCACAAAUACCCCUGAUAUAUCUUAGAUGG